UUAGAUGGCAACAUCUAGAUGCUCUAUAAUUCACUUGAAUUCAUGCCUCACACAUUGGAUCCAGCUAAUCUUGGAAUGGAUUUGGCUUACACAUUUGAAAAGGAAUGUCCCAGGUCUUACUGCUCAGUUCUUGAGUAAUCAUUCGGAUUUGAGAUUGCACAUGUCAUGAUGGGAACAGAAGGCCAUGUUCAUCUCCACAUUAUUACUCCUUUGGAAAAAGAUUUUAAAAAAUAGACUGAAGAAUUAAAGGAUUUCUUUGGAGAAAUAGAGUCUGUGUUGCUCUGAACUAGAAUACCUGCUUAAUACCCUUGAGGUAACUGUUNNNNNNNNNNUUAUUAUUAUUAUUAUUAUUAUUAUUAUUAUUAUUAUUAUUAUUAUUAUU
This 382-nucleotide long non-coding RNA is filed under the name Mus spicilegus (steppe mouse). RNAcentral's name for it is "lncRNA (ENSMSIG00000025647.1)". The record is from RNAcentral. Lineage: Eukaryota; Metazoa; Chordata; Mammalia; Rodentia; Muridae.